AAAAAAUUAGUUAAAAUCUUAUAACAUUAGUAUGUCAAACUAAAAUUAUUAUAAUUAUAAUAUUUUUUG
This 69-nucleotide transfer RNA is filed under the name Allobaccha apicalis. RNAcentral's name for it is "tRNA-Asp". The record is from RNAcentral. Lineage: Eukaryota; Metazoa; Arthropoda; Insecta; Diptera; Syrphidae.